Molecule: ribosomal RNA, 234 nt
Filed under: uncultured bacterium
Lineage: Bacteria
Description: partial 16S ribosomal RNA
Rfam family: Bacterial small subunit ribosomal RNA
Source: RNAcentral
UACGUAGGGGGCAAGCGUUGUCCGGAUUUAUUGGGCGUAAAGAGCGUGUAGGCGGCCAUGCAGGUCCGUUGUGAAAACUCGAGGCUCAACCUCGAGACGCCGAUGGAAACCGCAUGGCUAGAGUCCGGAAGAGGAGAGUGGAAUUCCUGGUGUAGCGGUGAAAUGCGCAGAUAUCAGGAAGAACACCCGUGGCUAAGGCGGCUCUGUAGUACGGUACUGACGCUGAGACGCGAA